RNAcentral lists this ribosomal RNA (370 nucleotides) under uncultured organism. RNAcentral describes it as "partial 16S ribosomal RNA". It matches the Rfam family "Bacterial small subunit ribosomal RNA", at positions 527 to 896 of the family's 1533-position model. The record is from RNAcentral.
GUAGGUGGCAAGCGUUGUCCGGAAUAUUGGGCGUAAAGCGCGCGCAGGUGGUCUUUAAGUCUGAUGUGAAAGCCCCCGGCUCAACCGGGGAGGGUCAUUGGAAACUGGGGAACUUGAGUGCAGGAGAGGAAAGUGGAAUUCCACGUGUAGCGGUGAAAUGCGUAGAUAUGUGGAGGAACACCAGUGGCGAAGGCGACUUUCUGGCCUGUAACUGACACUGAGGCGCGAAAGCGUGGGGAGCAAACAGGAUUAGAUACCCUGGUAGUCCACGCCGUAAACGAUGAGUGCUAAGUGUUGGGGGGUUUCCGCCCCUCAGUGCUGCAGCUAACGCAUUAAGCACUCCGCCUGGGGAGUACGGUCGCAAAGACUG